Molecule: ribosomal RNA, 373 nt
Filed under: uncultured organism
Description: bacterial SSU rRNA
Rfam family: Bacterial small subunit ribosomal RNA
Source: RNAcentral
CGUAGGGUGCGAGCGUUGUCCGGAAUUAUUGGGCGUAAAGGGCUCGUAGGCGGUUUGUCGCGUCGAAAGUGAAAUUCCGAGGCUCAACUUCGGAUCUGCUUUCGAUACGGGCAGACUAGAGGUAGGCAGGGGAGAGUGGAACCCCAGGUGUAGCGGUGGAAUGCGCAGAUAUCUGGGAGAACACCGGUGGCGAAGGCGGCUCUCUGGGCCUUACCUGACGCUGAGGAGCGAAAGCGUGGGGAGCGAACAGGAUUAGAUACCCUGGUAGUCCACGCCGUAAACGUUGGGCGCUAGGUGUGGGAGGCUUUCUACGUCUUCCGUGCCGCAGCUAACGCAUUAAGCGCCCCGCCUGGGGAGUACGGCCGCAAGGCUA